Molecule: long non-coding RNA, 1616 nt
Filed under: Homo sapiens (human)
Lineage: Eukaryota; Metazoa; Chordata; Mammalia; Primates; Hominidae
Description: HSALNT0131043
Source: RNAcentral
AUGCUGCACCUUUGGCACAGCGCGACUUCCCUGGCCCUCCCCCUGCGGACCAGUGAACCUCGCCCGAGGGCUCAAUAAAGAAGAUUUUUGCCCUCUUUUUCUCACCUCUCAGCCUUAUUGAUCCAUGGUGCCCUUCCAUUGCCUUUCAUUGGUGCCGAAACCCGGGAGGGGACACCUCCUAAGCCCCCCCAGAGGCUCAGGGGGACUCCCCUCCUGGUCGGAUCAGUCCUCUCCCUCAGUCAGGUCAGGCUUCUCCUCCACGGCCAUCUGUCCAUUUCGUCCGGUUACUUGCUGCCAGGUCGCAGUUGCUGCAGCUACUCCAGUCCAAUUCGGCCGACGCUAGUUGCCUGGCUGCAAUAUACCUUGGACAACCAAUCUCGCUGGCCCCCCAAAGGCACACUCGACUUCAAUAUCCUAAACGACCUUACCAAUUUUUGUCAGAGGCGAGGCAAAUAGUCAAAAAUCAAAUUUGUUCAAAGGUUCUGGGACCUCCGCUCUCGUCGGACCGCUGCCGCCAAGUGUUUUCGCUGGCACAAGUCCCUGUGGCUAGCCUUCCCCUUGAAGUCUGGCCAGCCUCUCUUGCCGUUAAUCCUGUCCGGGGCCCCCAUCUUAGUCUCUCUGCCGCCAUCUCCUUCUGCACUGCCGCCAUCUUACUACCUGCUUCCUCACUGCCGCCAUCUUACUUCCUUUUUUCUCUGCUGCCAUUUUAGUUCUUCUGCCACCAUUCGGCUGCCAUUUUAAUUCCCAUUAGUUCCCAUUUGUUCUUUUAACCCUGCCCAGCUAACUCCUUGGCUUCCAUCUUACCCGCAUUCUUAUUUCCACCUGCCUAUAGUGCCAUACCAGUCCACUGCAUCUACAACUCCUAACACAUUCGCUGCGGGCAGUGAUAUCCACUAAUCCUGGAUGAGGCAGCGGAGGGCCCCCAAACCCCUAUCCAGGACUUAGUAAAGCUGGCGUUCAAAGUUUUUAAUUCCUGAGAGGAGGCGGCUGAGGUACAACGACAGGCAAGCCUGAAACAAAAAGUUCAGCUCCAAACCCAAGCCCUGGCAGCUGCCCUGCAACCGGCAUUCCCUAAGAGCCGCGGCAGGAGAGGUAGAGGUACAAUCUCCCGGGCCCCGUCUGGCGUCUGCUUCAAGUGAGGCAACUCAGGACACUGGGCCAGCCGGUGCCCUAGCCAACAGCAACCGUCCUGCCCGCCUUGCAACUGUUUCAAGUGUGGCAAUCCAGGUCAUUGGGCAAAACAGUGCCCAAACCCCAAGCCGCCAACACACCCGUGCCCUAACUGCCAACAAAUGGAGCACUGGAGGUCAGACUGCCCCAGCCUCGGAGCGGCCGCUGUGGCUCCACAUGGCGACCCCUCCCUGGAUGGCGAAGGUGCCCUCUAGCUCCUCCAACUGGAUGACGACUGAAGAGGCCCAGGCUCGGGAACCCCUCUCACCCUUGCCGAGCCCAGGGUAAUGCUUCAGGUAGCGGUCAAACAGGUGACAACCACACUUGGCGUUAACUGGAAGCUACACACUCCAUACCAUCCGCAGUCUUCUGGAAAAGUGGAAUGCGCCAACGGCCUUGUCAAACAACACCUAAUCAAAUUGGCUCUCGAGAAGCGCCAAUCGUGG